Equus caballus (horse) is the source of this 2706-nucleotide long non-coding RNA. NCBI's taxonomy places the organism in Eukaryota, Metazoa, Chordata, Mammalia, Perissodactyla, Equidae. The record is from Ensembl.
CGCCCCGUGCGCGUGCGCGCUGGCUCGCUCGCGAGGAGCGGCGGGGAGGGUGCGGAGGCCGCGUUCCGGAGCGCGCGGAGAGGCAGGGCGGUGCGCGCCGCGGGGGGCGGGCUCCACCUGCCUGCCGACAGAGGGAGGGCCGCCGAGGGAGGAUGUGAAACGGGAAGACCCGCUUCUGCGCCGGCGACUUGCCUUGUUUGCCUCCUCACAGACGACUCCUGCCCCUGACGCCGCCGCACCCGAGAGGCGGCGAACGGCUGCUCCCGCCGCUGCGGCCAGACGGGGUCGCCCGCCCCGCACCGGCCGGGCCGCCUGCCCGACGGGGUCGCCGGCGAUCCUGUUUCACGGGAAACGUGCGCGGCGUGGCGGAAGGGACUCCUCGCUCUGGGCUUUGGGCGAUAAAAGCGCGUGUACGUGUGUGUUAAAGCCCACAGACAGCGUAGCGACUUCUUGAUUCAUUCGGCAAAUACUGUGGAGCGCUGUGGCGUGCCAGGCUGUGCCAGGCUUAGACGACAGCCCUGAUCAGCGCCGACACCGCACCUGUCCUCGGGGAGCAUGCAGGACACCGCUACUCACCUCUAAAAAACACACCGCAUGUGAAUUUGCCGUAUUUUCUGGACUGUAAAAUGCUUUGUAUGCUAAGUCCAUAUAUCGAAUAGCUUUUCAGUGGUGGAGGAAGAAACUACCUUAAAGUCAUAUAAUCACCAUAUAUGCGGGGAAAGGUCCUGGUCAAAAUCAAAGAAAGUUAGUAACAGCUGGCAGAGAGAGAAGGGAACACAGCUUGCAAAGAGAUGGCCUCUGCCUGUGGCCUGAAAUCUAAACUGACUUAAUUCCAUAAUUUGGAGCCUUUAUGGGUUGAAGUGCUAACUAUGACCUUAACAGACAUGGAAGCCUGUAAAAAUAGCAGCUAAGAGGUGGUAGUCAUAGAUACUAUGGUUCUAAGCCUUUCUUAAACUCUUCUAAAGCAGACUGGGUGACCCAUCAGCAAAAACAGAUUAAGGUAGCACCUCCGCAGCAGAUUUAUUUCAGAUUGCAUCAAGGCAGGGCCGUUAAACUAAGGUGGGAAUGAUAUGGACAGAAUUCAGAGGCUAAUAGGUAAAAGACAAGAAUUUUCAGGCUUAAAAACCCUUUUGAGAGAAGAUCUUGGUCUGGUGCCUACUCAUACAUGGAAUUGCCUAGAAGAUCCAUGACAGCCAGGUGUGGUCUUUAAUCCCCUUCAGUUUGGACCUGAUCCUUUCAUUCAGGAGGCAUCUCCCUGGAGACUGAGUAGAUGGUAGGAGUCCCCUGGGGUGCUGUCAGCUCCACUCGCUGAACCUCUGGAGAAAGGCCAAAAUACUAGAUGGAUCCCUGUGGAAUGACAGUUGUCAUUGCAGGCAGACGAGACAAACAAGGAUUCUGAAAGAAAUCAGAAUGUGGGAAGAGCAACUUCUAAGCAAGUAUGCACAAAUGUUGGAAUGUGCUGCAAGGAAAAGCAGAGGGGCGGCCAAUGAGAUGGACACAGGCGUGGUCCGCAGCCAAUCACAUGGGCCUGGCAAUGAGGGAGGCACAGGCCUGGAGCCAGGGCUGCAAGGUCACCCUCCCACAUGUGGCCCUGCUGUCUGGAACAACCAGCCCGUGGGUCCCCUAGACUGCAGAAGUUAGGGUGCCACGCUUGAGACAGUUUGCUCUCCUGCUACAGGCUCUUCCAGGACACUUGGGGAGGCCCUCUCACUGGUCAUUUUUACAUGAUGGCUGCAUGAACAGAACAGCUGACCUCCUCCUCUCUCUUAAUUUGUGUGUCUGUCCUGGCUAUAAAGCUUCCAUCCACCAGACCAGUUCAGACUCUCUCCUCUUCAUUUAUUCUGGUUCUCUGUUUACCAACAUGAAAUUACCCUAAAUCUGUGACCUGCGCCUAACCAUCAAAAUAACUUGGUACCACAGACAACUAAUUCCCCAAAUAGCCAUUUCUGCUGUUGGAGAAUGAAAGAACCUCUACCGUUACUUAAUUCAGUUGGCCCCCAGCUAGGCUACAACGCUGAAUCAGCUGCACGGCUUUCCUGGGCCCCACCCUUGGAAAUCGCAAUUCAGUAGGUCGUGGUGGGGCCUGGAAUCUGAAUUUUAACACAUCACCCAGCUGGUUUUCACCCAGGCUUGGGAAUGCUGAUGUAAUCUCUCCCCUCAUCUUAUAAAUGAGGACCCUGAGGCCAAGCCCUUGGCCACCUGGCCCAAGGUCAUGUUGCUCUUGGGAAUAACAGCACUUCCUUAACAUUUCUCACGGUAGGUACCUUAUUUCAGGUGUCACCCCAAUAAACCACGAGGCUGCUGUUAUUACAGGAUCAUCCCCAGUUUAAGAGGAAGGAGAGCAGCUGUGGGACAGGCUCGGUUUGCCGGUUGCUGCUGAGUGCUGCCUUUCGUGCUUACGGACUGUCAGAAAAGGAAACAGGGAAACAGCCUCCAGACAACAGCUACUCAAUUCUCAGUUCGCAGGUAAAGCCAGAGCUCCAUUCUCAGGACGCGGCCCGGGCCCUCCUGGCUCAGCAGCAUUGAGGGAGCUGUCUUCUGCUCUGGCUGGAAUCCUCGUACCCUGGCUGAUGCCUCUGCAGUGAGAGCUUCCGGGCCCCCUCACAUCAAGAAUAGGAACAUGUGCCACAUUUGUAUUGUUUUUAAUUAAUGCAUUUUGACUGAAAAAUUAAUAGUGCACAUAAUAAAAAAUCCAAUAAAAAUUCA